CAGUCGCCGCGGGAACACGGAGGAUCCAAGCGUUAUCCGGAAUCAUUGGGUUUAAAGGGUCCGUAGGCGGUCUUGUAAGUCAGUGGUGAAAGCCCAUCGCUCAACGGUGGAACGGCCAUUGAUACUGCAGGACUUGAAUUAUUGGGAAGUAACUAGAAUAUGUAGUGUAGCGGUGAAAUGCUUAGAGAUUACAUGGAAUACCAAUUGCGAAGGCAGGUUACUACCAAUUGAUUGACGCUGAUGGACGAAAGCGUGGGUAGCGAACAGGAUUAGAUACCCCGGUAGUCCCUGUCUCUUAUAC
This 301-nucleotide ribosomal RNA is filed under the name uncultured bacterium. Its description in RNAcentral is "partial 16S ribosomal RNA". It matches the Rfam family "Bacterial small subunit ribosomal RNA", at positions 509 to 807 of the family's 1533-position model. The record is from RNAcentral.